RNAcentral lists this ribosomal RNA (468 nucleotides) under uncultured bacterium. RNAcentral describes it as "partial 16S ribosomal RNA". It matches the Rfam family "Bacterial small subunit ribosomal RNA", at positions 28 to 507 of the family's 1533-position model. The record is from RNAcentral.
GACGAACGCUGGCGGCGUGCUUAACACAUGCAAGUCGAACGGAAAGGCCCUGCUUUCGUGGGGUGCUCGAGUGGCGAACGGGUGUGUAACACGUGAGUAACCUGCCCUUGACUUUGGGAUAACUUCAGGAAACUGGGGCUAAUACCGGAUAGGAGCUCCUGCUGCAUGGUGGGGGUUGGAAAGUUUCGGCGGUUGGGGAUGGACUCGCGGCUUAUCAGCUUGUUGGUGGGGUAGUGGCUUACCAAGGCUUUGACGGGUAGCCGGCCUGAGAGGGUGACCGGCCACAUUGGGACUGAGAUACGGCCCAGACUCCUACGGGAGGCAGCAGUGGGGAAUAUUGCACAAUGGGCGGAAGCCUGAUGCAGCAACGCCGCGUGCGGGAUGACGGCCUUCGGGUUGUAAACCGCUUUCACCUGUGACGAAGCGUGAGUGACGGUAAUGGGUGAAGAAGCACCGGCUAACUACGUG